This 229-nucleotide ribosomal RNA is filed under the name uncultured bacterium. RNAcentral's name for it is "partial 16S ribosomal RNA". It matches the Rfam family "Bacterial small subunit ribosomal RNA", at positions 568 to 796 of the family's 1533-position model. The record is from RNAcentral.
UCCGUAGGCGGGCGUCCAAGUCAGUGGUGAAAUCUUACAGCUCAACUGUAAAAUUGCCAUUAAUACUGGAUGUCUUGAAUUAGUGUGAAGUGGUUAGAAUGUGUAGUGUAGCGGUGAAAUGCAUAGGUAUUACACAGAAUACCAAUUGCGAAGGCAGAUCACUAACACUAUAUUGACGCUGAGGGACGAAAGCGUGGGGAGCGAACAGGAUUAGAUACCCUGGUGGUCC